Molecule: ribosomal RNA, 614 nt
Filed under: uncultured bacterium
Lineage: Bacteria
Description: bacterial SSU rRNA
Rfam family: Bacterial small subunit ribosomal RNA
Source: RNAcentral
CGGUAGACUACUUUCGGGUAGUUGAGAGUGGCGCACGGGUGCGUAACGCGUAUGCAACCUACCUUGUACAGGGGGAUAGCCCGGAGAAAUUCGGAUUAAUACCCCAUAGCAUUAUCAGAUGGCAUCUGAAGAUAAUUAAAGAUUUAUCGGUACAAGAUGGGCAUGCGUGACAUUAGUUAGUUGGUAAGGUAAAGGCUUACCAAGACGAUGAUGUCUAGGGGUUCUGAGAGGAUGAUCCCCCACACUGGUACUGAGAUACGGACCAGACUCCUACGGGAGGCAGCAGUAGGGAAUAUUGGUCAAUGGGCGAGAGCCUGAACCAGCCAUGCCGCGUGCAGGAAGACGGCCUUCUGGGUUGUAAACUGCUUUUCUACGGGAAGAAAAUGCCCUUGCGAGGGAAAUUGCCGGUACCGUAGGAAUAAGCACCGGCUAACUCCGUGCCAGCAGCCGCGGUAAUACGGAGGGUGCAAGCGUUGUCCGGAUUUAUUGGGUUUAAAGGGUGCGUAGGCGGAUCUUUAAGUCAGUGGUGAAAGCCUGCAGCUUAACUGUAGAACUGCCAUUGAUACUGGAGGUCUUGAGUACACUAGAGGUAGGCGGAAUUUAUGGUGUAGCGG